GGCAAGGUUAACCAGUGAUGGGGAGCCGGAGCGAAAGCGAGUCUGAAUAGGGCGUUCAGUCGCGUGCUGUAGACCCGAAGCCGAGUGAUCUAUCCAUGGGCAGGUUGAAGCGGGGGUAAGACCUCGUGGAGGACCGAACCCACCUAGGUUAAAAACUGGGGGGAUGACCUGUGGAUAGGGGUGAAAGGCCAAUCAAACUCGGUGAUAGCUGGUUCUCCCCGAAAUGCAUUUAGGUGCAGCGUCGUGCGUUCAGUCAUGGGGGUAGAGCACUGAAUGGGUUAGGGGGCCUACAAGCUUACCGACCCCAAUCAAACUCCGAAUACCAUGACUCCAGAGCACGGCAGUGAGACCGCGGGGGAUGAGCUUCGCGGUCGAGAGGGAAACAGCCCAGAUCGCCGGCUAAGGCCCCUAAUUCUGGACUAAGUGGAAAACGAUAGUGAGACUGCCCAGACAGCCAGGAGGUUGGCUUAGAAGCAGCCACCCUUGAAAGAGUGCGUAACAGCUCACUGGUC
Molecule: ribosomal RNA, 512 nt
Filed under: uncultured bacterium
Lineage: Bacteria
Description: bacterial LSU rRNA
Rfam family: Bacterial large subunit ribosomal RNA
Source: RNAcentral